AUCGCGAGAUCAGGAAGGUGGCCGAGUGUUUCGCCGCGGCCAUCAGGCACUUCUCCUUCCUGCCAUUGUAUGAAGAAGGAUGUGUUUGCUUCCCCUUGUGCCAUGAUUGUAAGUUUCCUGAGGCCUCCUCAGCCCUGCGGAACUGGCUAGAGCAAUGUAUCUUAGGCUCACUUAAGGAAGCUGUAGAGAUGAGCCCAAGGAGGGAAACCAGAAGAGCCCCCCAGGCUCGCCAGUUGUUUGUUGGCUCCCUACAAACAUGUCAUUCAAGUGGCUAAUCUUACAACAGCACAAAUUCAUCUAACCAGAAAGAGAAGAGGAGGCUCCAAAGGCACUUGACUACUGAGCAUCACCCUGGACGUGUACAAGUCUGCGUCCUUAUUGUUUUCUUCAUUGGGCCGAACUUUCUGGUCCUCAUCCAACAGCUCUUCUAUCACGUGUUCGAAAGUGUCAGCCAACGAUGUCAAGCCUCUUGAACCUGCCUUGGGCCCAUUCACGCUCUCCAGAGUCCCAUGGGUCCGCACACCUGGAGAUACUCUAUUAUAGCAAAGAAGAAAGAUAAUUUCAUUGAGCCAUCCUGUUUUACAGGAUUUUCCCUCCUGGUGAGUCAAAAUGAACAAGAAAUACCCCAGGACCUCCCUUCCCUCCUUGGCCAUUAAUGAGAUUAAGGCAAUUAACUCACAUAGUAUAAAUGAAUCAUUUGAGGUGAUGACUGCAUUUUAGGCAAAUGAUGACUUUCUUGGUUCCAUUGGUUUGCAAGUAAAAGUUACACACAUUGAAAAGACACUGAAACAGAUUUCCUAAAUGCUUCAUUUUCUGGAUGCACCAAUGUUGACCUACUAUACCUGUUAAAUGGUUUUAAAAUAUCACCUUAAAAUAAAGGAAACUUCCAGCUACUAACUCAGCUCUGAAUGGGCUAUGAAAGGCUCCAAAGGUAUGUGAAAAAUUACUGUUAUUUUGCUUUAAAAAAUGUGAUGUCUAAGAGUGUCUGCAAUGUUCUAAUGCUUCAAAACAUGUACGUAAGCCUUGUUUAUCUGGAAAUCAUUUCUUUCUGCUUAUAUCAUUUAUAAAUAGAAAAUGUUCUGUAAUAACUUAAAAUAGUUCCACAUACAUAAUGCUUUUCGUGUCAUAAUACUUACUACUGGUCUAUAUUUACCAACAUUUAUCACAUUUUACAAAAUGAAGUAGAAGAAAAAAAAAGACAACGACUUUAUGGCCCUGGAAUUCCAGUAAUGGUGACCAACAUGUUUUAAAUUCCAGUAAAGGUUAUGGUUACAUUUCAACAA
Molecule: non-coding RNA, 1283 nt
Filed under: Pan troglodytes (chimpanzee)
Lineage: Eukaryota; Metazoa; Chordata; Mammalia; Primates; Hominidae
Source: RNAcentral